GAAGCCUGGAUCUAUGCGGGCUUCGCGGAAGACCGCUUCAAGGGUACAAAGGGGCGCUGCUGAGCACACUUCAGAGCGUUAAAAUGCUAAAUGGGACGGCCUACGGACUCGUAGACUCAGCGAGCACGCGCAAUUUAAGUCCACGAGACCGAAAGUCCGCAUGAAGUGCGCCAUUUGGGACAGGGCAGUACACUCUCCCGACCCCUAUUUCCCAUAAUCCAACGCGGAGACGCGGCAGUGUGCAAAAUAAAAUUGCAAAUGGCGGACGUAAACACCGGAGGCGGCAACUUUUACAAAUGCAUGGAUGAAGACGUAAAGCGUCUCAUAAUGAGCAGGAUGGCCAAUGGGCAUCUCUUCUCUGGGCGCAGGAACGCAGCCCUGUUUGGAUGGGAAACUGUUCUGAAAGGGGUUGCUUGGUGUGGUAACCCCUGCCAAAAAGUGGGAAAAAUUGAACCUACAAGAGCACAAGUUUGAGACCACUUAAGGGAGAUAAGGAAGCCACCCACCCCUCCUCAUGGACUACACCAGAUUUGACAGUUCUUGCUCCAAGGCACUUGCAAGUUCCCGGACAUUUCUGGGGGGAAUGGCCCUAACCCUCACCCUCCGUUCCAACAGGACUCAGACGUGCACAAUAGGAUUGAGAUCCAGGCUCUUCGCUGGCCAUGGCAGAACACUGACAUUCCUGUCUUGCAGGAAAUAACGCACAGAACGAGCAGUAUGACUGGUGGCAUUGUCAUGCUGGAGGGACAUGUCAGGAUGAGCCUGCAGGAAGGGUACCACAUGAGGGAGGAGGAUGUCUUCCCUGUAAUGCACAGCAUUGAGAUUGCCUGCAAUGAUAGCAAGCUCAGUCCGAUGAUGCUGUGACACACCGCCCUAGACCAUGACAGACCCUCCACCUCCAAAUCAAUCCAGAGUACAGGCCUCGGUGUAACACUCAUUCCUUCGACGAUGGACAGUGGAAUUUAUCUCUGCUCAUCUGCAGUCCUCUUGCCUUCAUGUAGCAUGCCUAAGACAUGUUCAUGCAGAUGAACAGGGACACUGGGCAUCUUUCUUUUGGUGUUUUUCAGAGUCAGUAGAAAGAUCUCUUUAGUGUCCUAAGUUUUUAUAACUGUGACCUUGCCAUUUGUAAGCUGUUAAGUGUCUUAAUGACCAUUCCACAGGUGGAAUUUGUUUAUGGUUCAUUGAACAAGCAUGGAAACAAUAAAGAUCUGUAAAGUUAUUUGGAUUUUUUCAAAAUUCUUUAAAAAUACAGUGUCCUGAAAAGGGGAUGUUUCUAUUUUUGCUGAGUUAAAAUAAAUAUAUAUAUUAUAUACACACACUCACACUAUAGUGUAAGGUAUUGUGUUAAAUGUGUAAUCCAUUCUUCUGGACAUUAAAUUGUUUUUUAUUUAUAUAAACAUAAGAUACACAAAUUAUCUACUGACAUCAGUGUAUUAACUUCAACUUUGAACACUAUAUUUUAUUAGCUUAUCUUAUGUAGACAAAAUA
Long non-coding RNA from Xyrauchen texanus (razorback sucker), 1488 nucleotides. RefSeq lists it as uncharacterized. The transcript is spliced from 5 exons. The record is from RefSeq and is a predicted model, not a curated record. NCBI's taxonomy places the organism in Eukaryota, Metazoa, Chordata, Actinopteri, Cypriniformes, Catostomidae.